This 115-nucleotide ribosomal RNA is filed under the name Danio rerio (zebrafish). The record is from RNAcentral. Lineage: Eukaryota; Metazoa; Chordata; Actinopteri; Cypriniformes; Danionidae.
UCCGGCAGCUAGCUCUCUGCAACUCUCACAUGGUCGCCCACUGAAGCUAAGCAGGGCUGCGCCCGGUCAGUACCUGGAUGGGAGACCACUUGGGAAAGCUAGGUUGAUGCCGGAA